Molecule: RNA transcript, 902 nt
Organism: Cebus imitator (Panamanian white-faced capuchin)
Lineage: Eukaryota; Metazoa; Chordata; Mammalia; Primates; Cebidae
Gene name: porimin-like
Exons: 2
Source: RefSeq, a predicted model, not a curated record
AUGGCAGAGGCUGCUGGGUGGACAACCAAGGCCCAGGGCAGAUGGAGGAGGCAGCUGAGACCAUGGGGAGCUGCUGCUCUAGCAAGAACCAAGACUCGGCGCGCCUGGGCUGCGCUGCUCCUGGGGACGCUGCAGGUGCUGGCGCUGCUGGGGGCCGCCCUGGAGUACAGCGCAACCUCGGCAACAUCUGCAAACAUAGAGAAUUCUGUGCCUCCACACAACUCUAGUGCUAACUCAACAGAGACUCUCCAACAUGUGCCUUCUGACCAUGCAAAUGAAACUUCCAACAGCACUAUGAGACUACCAACUCCAGCUGCCUCAGUCCCCAGCAAUUAGACAGUCACCACCAUGAAACCCACAGCAGCAACUAACAGGACAACACCAAGGAUGGUCUCAGCAAAUAGGACUGCCAUCUUCAAGUCUACACCCAAAACAAACACAUCUCAGAUAGCAACAUCCACGAUGACCAUAGCCCACAAUAGUUCAGUGACAUCUGUUUCUUCAUCAGUAACAAUUACAGCAACUAUGCAUUCUGAAGCAAAGAAAGGAUCCAAAUGUGAUACUGGGAGCUUUGUUGGUGGUAUUGUAUUAAUGCUGGGAGUUUUAUCUAUUCUUUACAUUGGAUGCAAAAUGUACUACUCAAGAAGAGGCAUUCGGUAUAGAAACAUAGAUGAACAUGACGCCAUCAUUUAAGGAAAUCAUGGACCAAAGAAGGAAGACAGAUUGAUGCAGCCCUAUCAAUUAAUUUUGGUUUAUUAAUAGUUUAAAACAAUAUUCUCUUCUUGAAAACAGCAUAAACAGGCCAUGCAUAAAAUAUACAGUGUAUUACGUAAAUGUGUAAAGAUUCUUCAAGGUAACAAGGGUUUGGGUUUUGUAAUAAACAUCUAGAGCUUAAAAAAAAA